GGGCCUAUGGCGCAAUUGGUAGCGCGUAGUAAGUUAUACCAUUCCAAUACUGGAUUCCCAAUAUCUUCUAACAUCUUCUGCAGCGACUCCAGAUCGUAAGGUUGUCCGAUCGAGCCGGGCUGGGCUCA
RNAcentral lists this transfer RNA (128 nucleotides) under Aspergillus niger. RNAcentral's name for it is "tRNA-Trp". The record is from RNAcentral. Lineage: Eukaryota; Fungi; Ascomycota; Eurotiomycetes; Eurotiales; Aspergillaceae.